Molecule: ribosomal RNA, 2759 nt
Filed under: Klebsiella quasipneumoniae
Lineage: Bacteria; Pseudomonadati; Pseudomonadota; Gammaproteobacteria; Enterobacterales; Enterobacteriaceae
Description: partial 23S ribosomal RNA
Rfam family: Bacterial large subunit ribosomal RNA
Source: RNAcentral
CACUAUCGUUAACUGAAUACAUAGGUUAACGAGGCGAACCGGGGGAACUGAAACAUCUAAGUACCCCGAGGAAAAGAAAUCAACCGAGAUUCCCCCAGUAGCGGCGAGCGAACGGGGAGCAGCCCAGAGUCUGAAUCAGCUUGUGUGUUAGUGGAACGGUCUGGAAAGUCCGACGGUACAGGGUGAUAGUCCCGUACACCAAAAUGCACAGGUUGUGAACUCGAAGAGUAGGGCGGGACACGUGGUAUCCUGUCUGAAUAUGGGGGGACCAUCCUCCAAGGCUAAAUACUCCUGACUGACCGAUAGUGAACCAGUACCGUGAGGGAAAGGCGAAAAGAACCCCGGCGAGGGGAGUGAAAAAGAACCUGAAACCGUGUACGUACAAGCAGUGGGAGCACCUUUAUGGUGUGACUGCGUACCUUUUGUAUAAUGGGUCAGCGACUUAUAUUCUGUAGCAAGGUUAACCGUAUAGGGGAGCCGCAGGGAAACCGAGUCUUAACUGGGCGUUAAGUUGCAGGGUAUAGACCCGAAACCCGGUGAUCUAGCCAUGGGCAGGUUGAAGGUUGGGUAACACUAACUGGAGGACCGAACCGACUAAUGUUGAAAAAUUAGCGGAUGACUUGUGGCUGGGGGUGAAAGGCCAAUCAAACCGGGAGAUAGCUGGUUCUCCCCGAAAGCUAUUUAGGUAGCGCCUCGUGAACUCAUCUUCGGGGGUAGAGCACUGUUUCGGCUAGGGGGUCAUCCCGACUUACCAACCCGAUGCAAACUACGAAUACCGAAGAAUGUUAUCACGGGAGACACACGGCGGGUGCUAACGUCCGUCGUGAAGAGGGAAACAACCCAGACCGCCAGCUAAGGUCCCAAAGUCAUGGUUAAGUGGGAAACGAUGUGGGAAGGCACAGACAGCCAGGAUGUUGGCUUAGAAGCAGCCAUCAUUUAAAGAAAGCGUAAUAGCUCACUGGUCGAGUCGGCCUGCGCGGAAGAUGUAACGGGGCUAAACCAUGCACCGAAGCUGCGGCAGCGACACUAUGUGUUGUUGGGUAGGGGAGCGUUCUGUAAGCCUGCGAAGGUGACCUGUGAGGGCUGCUGGAGGUAUCAGAAGUGCGAAUGCUGACAUAAGUAACGAUAAAGCGGGUGAAAAGCCCGCUCGCCGGAAGACCAAGGGUUCCUGUCCAACGUUAAUCGGGGCAGGGUGAGUCGACCCCUAAGGCGAGGCCGAAAGGCGUAGUCGAUGGGAAACAGGUUAAUAUUCCUGUACUUGGUGUUACUGCGAAGGGGGGACGGAGAAGGCUAUGUUAGCCGGGCGACGGUUGUCCCGGUUUAAGCAUGUAGGCUGGUUAUCCAGGCAAAUCCGGAUAAUCAAGGCUGAGGUGUGAUGACGAGGCACUACGGUGCUGAAGUAACAAAUGCCCUGCUUCCAGGAAAAGCCUCUAAGCAUCAGGUAACAUCAAAUCGUACCCCAAACCGACACAGGUGGUCAGGUAGAGAAUACCAAGGCGCUUGAGAGAACUCGGGUGAAGGAACUAGGCAAAAUGGUGCCGUAACUUCGGGAGAAGGCACGCUGGUGUGUAGGUGAAGUCCCUGCGGAUGGAGCUGAGACCAGUCGAAGAUACCAGCUGGCUGCAACUGUUUAUUAAAAACACAGCACUGUGCAAACACGAAAGUGGACGUAUACGGUGUGACGCCUGCCCGGUGCCGGAAGGUUAAUUGAUGGGGUUAUCCGUAAGGAGAAGCUCUUGAUCGAAGCCCCGGUAAACGGCGGCCGUAACUAUAACGGUCCUAAGGUAGCGAAAUUCCUUGUCGGGUAAGUUCCGACCUGCACGAAUGGCGUAAUGAUGGCCAGGCUGUCUCCACCCGAGACUCAGUGAAAUUGAACUCGCUGUGAAGAUGCAGUGUACCCGCGGCAAGACGGAAAGACCCCGUGAACCUUUACUAUAGCUUGACACUGAACAUUGAGCCUUGAUGUGUAGGAUAGGUGGGAGGCUUUGAAGCGUGGACGCCAGUCUGCGUGGAGCCAACCUUGAAAUACCACCCUUUAAUGUUUGAUGUUCUAACGUUGGCCCCUUAUCGGGGUUGCGGACAGUGUCUGGUGGGUAGUUUGACUGGGGCGGUCUCCUCCCAAAGCGUAACGGAGGAGCACGAAGGUUAGCUAAUCCUGGUCGGACAUCAGGAGGUUAGUGCAAUGGCAUAAGCUAGCUUGACUGCGAGCGUGACGGCGCGAGCAGGUGCGAAAGCAGGUCAUAGUGAUCCGGUGGUUCUGAAUGGAAGGGCCAUCGCUCAACGGAUAAAAGGUACUCCGGGGAUAACAGGCUGAUACCGCCCAAGAGUUCAUAUCGACGGCGGUGUUUGGCACCUCGAUGUCGGCUCAUCACAUCCUGGGGCUGAAGUAGGUCCCAAGGGUAUGGCUGUUCGCCAUUUAAAGUGGUACGCGAGCUGGGUUUAGAACGUCGUGAGACAGUUCGGUCCCUAUCUGCCGUGGGCGCUGGAGAAUUGAGGGGGGCUGCUCCUAGUACGAGAGGACCGGAGUGGACGCAUCACUGGUGUUCGGGUUGUCAUGCCAAUGGCACUGCCCGGUAGCUAAAUGCGGAAGAGAUAAGUGCUGAAAGCAUCUAAGCACGAAACUUGCCCCGAGAUGAGUUCUCCCUGAGACUUUAAGUCUCCUGAAGGAACGUUGAAGACGACGACGUUGAUAGGCCGGGUGUGUAAGCGCAGCGAUGCGUUGAGCUAACCGGUACUAAUGAACCGUGAGGCUUAACCUU